UGGUUGAAAUAACGACGAUAUAAAGUCAAAAAUCUUUAUUCUAACUCGAAAAAUACAUAGUGGUAAAUGAUUUUUGACUUUAUAUCGUCGUUAUUUCAACC
This 101-nucleotide small RNA is filed under the name Mytilus galloprovincialis (Mediterranean mussel). The record is from RNAcentral. Lineage: Eukaryota; Metazoa; Mollusca; Bivalvia; Mytilida; Mytilidae.